GACGAACCGUGCAAACGUUGUUCGGAAUCACUGGGCUUAAAGGGCGCGUAGGCGGGCCGGCCAGUCAGGGGUGAAAGCCCACGGCUCAACCGUGGAAGUGCCUUUGAUACUGCCGGUCUUGAGGGAGGUAGGGGCGUGCGGAACUUCCGGUGGAGCGGUGAAAUGCGUAGAUAUCGGAAGGAACACCGGUGGCGAAGGCGCCGCUCUGGGCCGAAACUGACGCUGAGGAGCGAAAGCGUGGGGAGCGAACAGG
RNAcentral lists this ribosomal RNA (253 nucleotides) under uncultured bacterium. Its description in RNAcentral is "partial 16S ribosomal RNA". It matches the Rfam family "Bacterial small subunit ribosomal RNA", at positions 524 to 776 of the family's 1533-position model. The record is from RNAcentral.